Molecule: non-coding RNA, 29 nt
Filed under: Mus musculus (house mouse)
Lineage: Eukaryota; Metazoa; Chordata; Mammalia; Rodentia; Muridae
Source: RNAcentral
UGAAGGGCUUUCACUGUUUUUCUGAAAUA